GAUUAACGCUGGCGGCGUGCAUAACACAUGCAAGUCGGACGAUGAAACUUUAAUGAACCCUUCGGGGAGAAUUAAAGCGGAUUAGUGGCGAACGGGUGAGUAACGCGUGAGUAACCUGCCUUACACAAGGGGAUAGCCUUUGGAAACGAAGAAUAAUACCCUAUAAAACCAUAAAAGCACAUGCAAUUAUGGUCAAAGUGAUAGCGGUGUAAGAUGGACUUGCGUCUGAUUAGCUAGUUGGUGAGAUAAAAGCCCACCAAGGCAACGAUCAGUAGCCGGCUUGAGAGAGUGUACGGCCACAUUGGGACUGAGACACGGCCCAGACUCCUACGGGAGGCAGCAGUGGGGAAUUUUGCACAAUGGGGGAAACCCUGAUGCAGCGACGCCGCGUGAUUUAGAAGGCCUUCGGGUUGUAAAAAUCUUUUGUAUAGGAAGAAAAUGACAGUACUAUACGAAUAAGGUCCGGCUAAUUACGUG
RNAcentral lists this ribosomal RNA (477 nucleotides) under uncultured bacterium. RNAcentral describes it as "partial 16S ribosomal RNA". It matches the Rfam family "Bacterial small subunit ribosomal RNA", at positions 28 to 507 of the family's 1533-position model. The record is from RNAcentral.